AAUAUCACUGCAAGCUCCUACUUUUUUUCUCUUUUUUUUGAGAGAGAGAUAGAUAGCACGCUACCCGCUUCGUUUAUUUUAUUUAGAAAUAAACUUUGCAAGAAAUGUAAAUCAACUAGGAUUUGAACUUGAGUCUCAGAUACCAACCACCAAGCCCUUAAUUUGCCACUUGCUCUAGGGACGGUCAGUCUGCAAGCUCCUACUUGUGCG
RNAcentral lists this long non-coding RNA (210 nucleotides) under Ananas comosus (pineapple). RNAcentral describes it as "long non-coding RNA (ACOM_LNC027193)". Lineage: Eukaryota; Viridiplantae; Streptophyta; Magnoliopsida; Poales; Bromeliaceae. The record is from RNAcentral.